RNAcentral lists this ribosomal RNA (253 nucleotides) under uncultured bacterium. RNAcentral describes it as "partial 16S ribosomal RNA". It matches the Rfam family "Bacterial small subunit ribosomal RNA", at positions 524 to 776 of the family's 1533-position model. The record is from RNAcentral.
UACGGAGGGGGCAAGCGUUGUUCGGAAUUACUGGGCGUAAAGGGCUCGUAGGUGGCCAACUAAGUCAUACGUGAAAUCCCUCGGCUUAACCGGGGAACUGCGUCUGAUACUGGAUGGCUUGAGUUUGGGAGAGGGAUGCGGAAUUCCAGGUGUAGCGGUGAAAUGCGUAGAUAUCUGGAGGAACACCGGUGGCGAAGGCGGCAUCCUGGACCGGCAUUGACGCUGAGGCGCGAAAGCUAGGGGAGCAAACAGG